AAAAGGGACCUUUCUUUUAUGGGGGACUGAUUUUGAUCCUGAACAGAAAGGCCAUAGAACUCUAGGAAAAACUCUCCCUUUGGAUUUAUUUUUAUAGUUAGAAGCAGGAAGAUGGAGUAUAAUAACUAUUUUGCUCUAUCUUCUGCUCUAACAAAACCCAGUUUAAUCUUGCCUGCUCUAACCUCAUAGACCUACAUAUUUUUAUUUCAUAACCAUGCAAGGGGAUUAUCAUUAUGGAUCUGUAUAUGAGCUGUGUUCCAUGGCAUUGACCCAAGAACAUCAAUUCUAAUCAGAGGAGGACUGCUGUUUACUUGGUGGAUGUGUGGUAUGUAUACUGGUAUUUUUCGGGAGUCACUACAGAAGAAAUAUCAUCUCAAGGUGAACCUCUCUUCUUCUCACUCCUUUCAAAUGCAUGUGCUGAACGCCAAUGCAAAGUUAACAGAAACAUUGAUCUUAUUUUUCACCGAAAACAAUAGGGGACCUGCAUUUGUUGCAUUUAUAGCUGUUUUAGAAUCAGAUAAAAGCGAUUGAUGAUGGAGGAGUUAUGCACAUUUGUAAUUUGCCGAAUGUACGCAAUUGCACAUAUUCUCUUAUUUUUUCUAGACGAGGAUUCUUGUCCACUAGAAACACCUCGGUUGACUUAUCCAUGUGCACUUUGCUUGAGUACAUGGGUUGAUCCUUCAGUGACCAUUAGGUUAGAAGAUGGAGGCUGCUUAUGUGUUUUUCGAUAUUUCCUACUAUUUCAUUCACAUGCAAUAGCUGCACAACCUUGGCCAUUAAUUUGGGGUUGGUUUACGGAUUGUAGAGUGUUGUGGUUGAAAUUCGGCCUGAGGGUGUCCACGCCGGAGGGAGUCGAGGAGACGCAGGCCGGGACGGAGAAGGGCCGCCUCCGGUGCUCCGGGGUACCUCCAACAAGACACCGGCUGGGUUGGAGAAAAGAGAGCCAUCUCCUGCGCUCCGGGGUACCUGCACAAAGCCUUCAUCGGGCAUCCCAGCAAAGGCCCUCCGAUGGCUUAGUUAGCAGAAUUUUGAAGGGUCCUAUUGUGGUUGGGAGAGAAGUCCUCUUGGAGUAUUUUUUUAUGGCCUCUUUUAUAUUUCUUACCAGAGUGCCUCGGUGGCGGAGGUAUUGAAAGAUAUCCUAUGAUGCUUGUAGCGAUAGCAUGCUGAAAUUUAAAACUUUUUCAAAAUUAUUGACUGUACCUAUUCAGGUUGCCUACAUGCCCCUUCGCAAGGGGGAUCAAGCCAUACGUAGUUCUUUUAAUUUUCAAAAUCGCAGCGGAAAAUCGAAUUAAACAUUUUAAUUCUAGCAAGCAUAAGAAAUCAAAUUUCAAUUUACCACUACAAGUAUUCAUGAUCAAUAUGCCGGGAUCGUUUAAACGAUUAUGCUAAAAUCAUUGCACGAUUAAUUAUAGAUCUAAAAUGAAAUUAUUAAUUAAGUUUUAAACUCAAUUAAUCUAACACCCAACUAAUCUUCGAAUGUCUAUCGAAUAGGCUCUGAAGAUUACUCUGUGAAGAGCCCUAAAAGAGGUUUAACCCUCGGGGAUUGGAACCUAUAAGAGAUAUCUUUGGAUCUAGAUUCAUACUUUUAUGAAAUCUGAAAGUAAUGGAUCUGAUGCUUGAGCUUCGUAGCCAUACACUUGUUUGGCCUCUACAAGUGAUCCACGCGAAGCUCCUGGAGUGAUCCAAUCCCGCGGAAGUGCUAGCUUGCGCAGGAUCUUCCUUGUUGCUAAAUUUUGAUCUUUCAAACGCUAUCAACUUUUGAUUCGCCUUCUUAGAAGAACUUGAAGGAAUGGUUAGUAGGGAUUGAAGAGAACUUAGAUCUGAUCUAAAAGCUCUUAUUAGAAACCCCGUGUUGGGAAUUGGAUCCUAAAUGUCAAUCAUCAGCAUAUUGAUGAUUGAAUUUUGUACAUGAAUUGAUAAAUUAAUAAAGUGUUAUUUGACAUUAAUCAUCAUUUCAUCUUCAAAUAAACUCUUAUAUGAUGAAGUCCUUAGAACUUAUGUUAUGAUAAAGGAGGAUUUAUCUUUGAGUCCUUAAACUUGUUCGCGACCAAAUGAUAUGUUGUUACUAGGACGACAGCAUUAUCGAGAUUAGGUCGUUGUGUGAAAUAUACGUUGGUUGUCCUCUUAACUAAGGAGUGUGGAGACACUGGUAUGCCACACAGGUGAAGUGUAGGAGUACAUUUUACUGAACGUGACCAAUUUCGGUAUACUCUACUGUUAAGAGAUGUUCCGAGUGGAUAUGGAUAUAAGUUUGGCCCUCUGACCUGAGACCGCAACCUGUGACUAGCAAGCAACUCACUGUAUUUUGGUACCGGACUACCUGAAUUUCUAAUUCAGUGACGGAAGGUCACUGGGUGCAGUCAAGUACUUGUGUAGUCAGUUGUGAGUCAAGAUGGAAUUGACCCCUUCUGGAAACAGGAGAUAAUAUCUUGUGAUUAAUUUAGCAAAACCUUGGCCAGGGUAAUCCCAGUAAGGAGUCACAUGAUAUCUAAAGUUAAUCACAUAAUGGAUGUACUAAUUAUAGGGUUGACAGUGAGCUCUAAGUCAUCCUGGCAUUAGGAGUCAAAGGGAUUGAAUUAUACAGUAACUAUAGUCCAGGGUUCCAGAAUAUUUGCUUUGCAUAUAUUCGGCUUAUCCGGACGUCGGGUACCAUUGCUAGAUGGUCACAUCGAUUAGUAUAGGAAGACGUUUCUAUACUACCGGCUUAGGUUCGAACCUAUGAGGUCACACGCAUAAAAGUUUCUAGGUUGAUCAAAUGGUUGAUUGAUGAUUAAGAAUCAUUCAGGGGUAAUUUGGUCAAUUCGAUUGAUAAAUUAUCCUAAGAAAAAGUUGCAUUAAAAUAAUUAUUGAAUUAUUGGAGGAUUAAUUAGCAAUUAGAUUGCUGAUGAACUCAAUUUGAUUGAGCAAUUGGGCUUAGGUUGAGCCAAAUUGAAUAGGAUUCAAUUUGGGCUGCAUCCUAAUUGGAUUGGGUUCAACCCAAGUAGAUUGAGCUUGACCCAAUUGAUGGGACUUGAUCCAAUUGGAUUAUACUUGAUCCAAAUCAAUUAGAAGAUCUUAUUUGAUGAGGAUUAUGAGUCCAAAUAAUCAGAAUUGGAUAAGAAGAAGAAUUCCUAAAUUUUAGGAACCCAUCCUUAUCUUCUUGGAGAAGAAUGAAACCUUGAUUUAUCCCCAAUAUUUUUCACACCUAUCCUAUUUAUUUUUGGCCAAAAAUUGGCAUGAGAAGAGAGGAGGCAUGGGGCUAUAUUCCCUACAAAAAUGGCGCCUCAAAUAUUCCUAAAAAUAUUUAGAUGAAUUUCCUAAUUUGUAGGGAAUGCAUGGUGCAUGAAAAAGGGUGGUCUGCGGCUAAACUUUGGACGCAUGAAUUUCUAUCUUUUAGGGAUCCAAAAUGUACAAAAUUUGAAUAUAUUUAUCUUCUCUUAGCUGCCAAAUCACCAGAAUUUUUUGGAAAUUUUAUCAGCCAAAUUAAUUGGCUAAAUUAGGUGUGAGGCGUGGGGGGUCUUUUGGCUAUAAAAGACCCCCAUGCUUAGGGUUUAAAAUAUACAAUAUUUAGAGGUUUCAAAAAAUUCUGAAAUUUUUUUUUGAGGGCCUCCAUCCCUUCUUCUCCUUCAUCCUCACAUCCAUCCUCCAUCUCCUUGAAGAAAAAUCAAAGGUUGAGUAUUUAGAAGAAGAAAGCUUCAGCCACUGUAGUGUUCCUGCGCGAGCUAGCACUCCCGCGGAAAACGAUCUCCUAGGGCUUCGCGUGUACUUCUCGUAGAGGCCAUUCGUGUGCGUGGCUACGAAGUCAAGGAUCAGAUUCAGAAGUUUCUUUCAUCAUAAAAGGUAUUAAUUUUAUAUUAAUCUUUUAUUUUGGAGUCAGGGUCUAGGUUCGAUUUCUCGAGGUUUUACCCUUCUUUGGGGCUCCUCAUGGAGUUAUCUCCAGAAUGCAUUCGAUGGAUAUUCGGAGAUUAAUCGAAAUAGAGUGUUUACCUUUCAGAUCUGAUAGAUCAUGCAUAAAGUUUUAGCAUAAUUGUUUAAACGAUUCCGACAUAAUCCUAUGUGUUCUUACAAUGCUGAUUUCUAUAUUUGAUCUUGCAAGUAUGCACGAAUUAAAUUGUUUGAUUCGAUUUUUUCGCUGCAUUUUUGAAACUUAAAAAGAACUACGUAUGGCUUGAUCCUCCUUGUGAAGGGGUACGUAGGCAAUCCGAUCAGGUUCAGCCAUGGUUUUGAAAAAAAAAAAAAUUUAGCAUGCUUAACACCGAAGAACCUAGGAUGCACUUUCACCCCUAACAGCUAUUUCGAGAUGGACUUAGAGGAGAAUAUGUGUGGCAAGAUAGAAAGCUGAAAAAACUAUUUUUUCUUUCUUUUCUCUCUUGGUUUUUCUUAUCUUUUCAUAUUUGGCGACACAAGGAACUCUUCCUUUUAUAGGCACGCCAUCUGAUCAUUUGAAUUCAAAAUUCAAAUGAAAAUUUGGUAUCUUGUUGGCGCAUGAAGGGGAUGGUUGCAACAAGAUAGAUCUUAUCUUGUUUGAAUUCAAAAUUUAAAUAAUAUAUGGUUCAUGCGGGUAAGAUAAAAUCGAAAUGGAUGGUGAUGAUCUUCCAUCAUCAUCUGCCCAUUCUCCCACAUGUUCCACGAUCCAAAUCUCAUGAGAUUUCAUUGAAAAACCACUUCUGGAUCGAAUCCAGAAAGUUCAGAAUGUUCGCAAGCUCCAAAUUUUUCGGAAGGAGUCGACCUUCCCGAUCUCGAGUCGAUUCCAAGUCGCCUCGAGUCGACUCCUUCCCUUUCGAGUCGACCCUGGCUGAGACGACAGAGAACCUUUUUCCUGAUACGCCCAGCGAGUCGACUCCUUCAUAGCUCGAGUCGACUCCAAGAAAACUUGAGCCGACUCCAAGUCAGGAAAAUAGAAGAAGACGUUCUCUGGAUUCUCUGAGAGACUUGACCCCAGCCAAGCUUGGUCGACUCCAACCCAUCUCGAGUCGACUCCAAAGAAACUCGAGUCAACUUCAAUCAGGUCAAAAACUCUAAUUGAACCCAAAAUUGAAUCAAAUUCAAUUUUGCUCAUCCUUAGUCCAAUUACUCAAUUAAAUUGAGUUUAUUAGUAAUCUAAUUACUAAUUAAUCCUCCAAUAAUUACCUUAAUUAUUUUAUAGGAUAAUUUGCCAAUCGAAUUGACCAAAUUAUCCCCGAAUUAUUCUCAAUCAUCCAUCAGCAAUCUUGAUCAAUCAGGAAACUUCUAUGCGUGUGACCUCAUAGAUUCGAACCUAAGCCGGUAGUACAGGAACGACUUUCUGCACUAAUCGAUGUGACCAUCUAGCAAUGGUACCCGACGUCCGGAUAGGCCGAAUAUAUGCAAAGCAAAUAUUCUGGAACCUUGGACUACGGUUACUGUAUAAUUCAUUCCUUUGACUCCUAAUGCUAGGAUGACCUCAAAGUUCUGUCAACUCUCUAAUCAGUACAUCCAUUAUGUAAUCAACUUUAGAAAUUUUUUGACUCAUCGCAAGGAUUACCCUGCCAAGGUUUUGCUAAAUUGAACACAAAGCAUUAUCUCCUGUUUUCAGGAGGGGUUAAUUCCAUCUUGACUCAUGCACCGAUUUCGUAAGUACUUGACUGCACCCAGUAACCUUCCAUCCUAGAAUUAAAAAUUUUGCUAGUCAGGUACCAAAGUACAGUGAGUUGCUUGCUAAUCACUGUGGUGAUCUCAGGUCUGAGGAAUACUUAUACCCAUAUCCACUCGGAACAUCUCUUGACCGUAGAACAUUUCAAAAUUGAUCACGUUCAGUGAAAUAUACUCCUACACUUCACCUGUGUGAUAUAUCAUUGUCUCUACACUCCUUGGUUAAAAGAACAACCAAUGUAUAUAUCACACAACGACCUAAUCUCGAUAAUGCUAUCGUCCUAGUAACAAUAUAUCAUUUGGUCGCGAAUAGGUUUAAGGACUUAAAGAUAAAUCCUUCUUUAUCUUAAAAUAAGUCCUAAGGAGUUCAUCAUAUAAGAGUUCAUUUGAAGAUGAAAUGAUGAAUAAUACCAAAUAACACUUUAUUAAUUUGUCAAUUCAUUUACAAAAUUUAAUCAUCUACACACUGAUGAUUGACUCUUAGGAUACAAUUUCCAACAGGUAUGGCCCCGGCAGGUAUGGCAGGGUAUGGCCUAUGGCAGGUGUAGCAGGCUAUGGCCCUUGGCAGGUGUGUCCGGGUAUGGUCCUGGUUGACACGUUAUGGCAUGACCAACAAGUAAAGUACGACAUGGUAAGGUUGUUGCAGGCGAUGGCUGCAACAUGUGUUUGUGGAGGUCGGCUCGGUCUCUGGCGGAGGUCGGCUCGCUCAAUAGGGUUUGGGUGGUUCCAUGCUUGAGUAGGAUGAUCCAUUUUACCUCCCAUCAUUUGCUCCCCGACUUUCGAGUCCGAGUCAUUCUUUGGCUCGGGCGAAGAAAGUAAUCGAGUCGCCGAUCGUCCUGCAAUACAGUCAGGCAUUUGUGAAGAUAUAAGUAUCAAGUAGGGCGCACCUCUUAUGUUGCUGGAGCUAGUGGCUUUAGGCUAACUUUCCGAGCCGAGCUUGGAUAGUUUAAGCUGCCACAUCAUUCCAAGCUGCCACAUUAUUCCAAGCUGAGGUGGUCGAGGGAGCUCUUUAAUGCGUUGCGUGUGCGCUCCCUUUCGAGGCGUUACUUGAUGGUAUACGAGGGGCUAAUCAUCAAUGCCCUAUCUUCCGAAGCGGCCAUCAUGAUGAUCGACCUUUAACGCAACGAUCCAGAAAGAUUUUCUGAGGGAGCUUCUGGGCCUGCCAUGUGGUAAGAUCUGGCCGUUCGGCCACCCAGGUGGGUCGAUCGGAGUUGUCAAGGUAGGCUACAUAAAGCCUUGAGGGGGGCCUUAGGGCCCCUAUUUAAACUCUAUUCUUGCUCUUCUUCUUCCUGGCCGCCAUCGCCGUCGUCCUCAAGCUCCACUUCGAGCGUUCUUGGUGCUUUGCAAUGGAUUUUUCUCCCCCAUCUUCAGUUUUUGGUGAUCCUUCUCUCUUUCCGGUUAUCUUCUCUGGUGGAGCCUUAGGUCGGUGUUCUCUUCCGUUCUCGGUCGCUUGGAGAUUUUAUCCUUCUCUCUUUGAUUUUCUAUGAGUGAGGCGGAGACCUUGAUUGCAAGGGGCUUGCCUUCGAGAGCUUCUGAGCCCAGCACGGGUCCAUCCCGGGUUUGGGCUUCUCCGAAUGCGGGGGAGGCCGAGCUUGGGUUGGACCAUAGUCCGAGCGGAAUUAGCUCAAGUCUGACCGAAGAGGAGCUGGGCUUGGUCCGAGCUCGGUUCUCCUUCCUGCACGAGUUCAUUCUUGAGCUUCCGGGACCUAGGGCUCGGGUGACCGACCCUCCUCGAGGCCGGAUUGGAGCGUAUGUGAAGACUGUCCGAGCUGGUCUAAGGUUUCCUCUUCAUGGGUUCUUGAACUAGCUUCUGGCGACUUAUCGCCUCAUUCCUGCGCAGCUCGCUCCGAACUCAUGGAAAAUGAUCAUAGGCUUUCUCUCGCUUGGCUUGGCUCAUGGUUUUCCCACCUCGGUAAACGUCUUUCGGGGCUGCUUUGUACUAAAAGCUAGCCCCGCAGACAAACGGUGGUGGUACUUCUCUUUUAGAGAGGCCGCAUACUCUUUCGAGGUGAUCCUUCCUCCAUUCAUAGGUGGAAGGACAAAUUCUUUUUUCUUACUUCCGAGCGGUUGUGGGGGUUUGACCCAACCUGGGGCUCGCCGCUGGCCACGGUGAAUAAGUGCCCAAGCGAUCACAGUUCGAGCAGGAGAUUGUAGACAGGCUGCUCCGGUUGGGAGGAACUGUGAAGCUUCCCAACCUGCUGAGUGAGAAAGUUUUGGUGAACAUCGGCGUGAGCUCAGCUCAUCCCAAGAGUAAGGGCAACAGGGUGAUUUUUCUUUCUUUUCCUUUUCUCCUUUCUCAUACUUGAUUCUUAUUUGAGUUUCGGUUGUCAGAAAUGGCAGGGAUGGUUUUCAGUGAUGAGACCUUGAUGGCCUGGUAUAAUAAGAGAGCGACCGCCUCGGAUGGAGCUCGUCCUGAGCCGAGGUCAAAGAAGCCAAGGACCGCAUCUUCUUUUGGUGUUACGCGGGGCGAGCCCGCUCGAAAGGCUAAGCAGCCCCCACCGACUGAAGAAGGGGUUGAAGGAGGAUCCGCGGUGGAACAGGCAGUCGCUGCGCCUGGCGGCGACACUCAGAGGGCCUGCAAGGUUGUCUGAUUGUGGAGAUCGGGUCCUGAGUCGGGGAGUGGACUCGGGGUUCCGGUUUCUUCUGGGGUGCCGACCUCUUUCGAGGCCUUAAGCUCUUCAAGAGCUAAUCCCGCUCCCUCUGAGCUCGGGAGGACACUAUUCCUACCUGGAAAUCAACUAUUCGAGGACGAUUCGGCCCUCGAAUCUAGCGAUGUCACUCGCGUGGUCUUCUGCGGCGCCAUGCUUCCGGCCGACCGAUCACGGCUGCAGUUGGGGUUCGAAGGCUUCGUCGAUCAGGCAUACUGUGCUGGCAUCUUGGUGAGUAAUGCCAUACUCUUACUUUUAUAUUUUUCCAAGUGCUCGACCUCGGCUAAUAUUUUGUUUUUUGUGUCAGCACCUUCAUGUGAUUGACAUGUUGGUGGCCGCUGCGUCCAACUACUGAGAUCGGGCGAGGUCAUCUCGGUCAAAGGUGGAGGCCGCUGAGCGACAGAAGCAAAAGGCCGAGGCCCAGGCGAUGGGUGCCAAGCAACGACAGCAAGAGGCCAAGGAGAGUUCUAAGUUGCUGCGACUUGUGCGGCAAGGAAGAUGAAAGAUUGUCUCACAUAUUGCUUCAUUGGUUGUAUGCUCGCUUCAUUUGGCAACAUUUUUUUGGGUUGUUUUAUUUUUUUUCUGGGAACAGAGGAAGGGGUUAGAUUUUUCCUGAAAGCAUAAUGGGCCGUAGAAAGAAAGAGCGAAAAAGCACACUCCCCUUGCCUUGAUAACAAACCCAACGCUAAAAAGAGACCUCCUACAUGCACGGGCGAAGACGACCGAAGCUCAGAUUGAGGUCGGGCUCGCUCGGAUCCAGGAGGUGGAGCUCGAGCACGACCAAGCUUGUUCGGCGCUUCGAACCAUCGAAGGUCGCAUUUCUGAGCUUGAGGCUACACUGGCCGGCCAGAAGCACAAAGCCGAGUAGCUCGCUAGGUUGGCCGAGGAGUGGGUCCGGGAGGCCAUCUAGAAUUACCGCCAGUUUGAGGUGUAUCUGGAUGAGCUGGCGGAGGAGGCCACUGACGGCCUAAUUCGAGAUUUCGAGAACUGUCGCGAUCAAGCGCAGCAACUUUGCCCCGAGAUUGACUUCAGCGGCCUUCAUCCGCUUCUGGCUGGAGUCGCCAAGUCUGCGAUCAUGGCUGAAGUGGGCGAGCUUGCUGAGUUACACGAGCUCGUCGCCGAUGUGGACGAAGAUGCUCCUAAGGCCUUUGCUGAGGCCACUGCUAAGGCUGCUGCCGAGGUCGGGCCUGAGAGGCUGAGACUGCGCAAGCCGCCUAAGCUUUACUCCUUGUUUUCUGUUCCUUUUCUUGCCAUUCUUGUAAAGUGGGCCACUUAGGCUUUUUUAUAGUUGACCAUUUUUGUAUUCGAUCCGACCUCAAGGUCGGCAUCUUUUGUACUCGGCCUUUGGCCUUUUGACAUUAAUAAAGUACAUUUUUUGGCACUUUGUGUUUCAAAGUUUUAGCAAGUGUCUGAGCUCGUCUUACUUUGCAUCUUAUGUUGGAUUUUUGCGCUUGGCAUUCGCUUCCAACUUAGACUUAGGAUAAGAGGGUCUUAUAGAGGCGAUGAAGAGCCCACCGCUUUCGAGCUCGUCCGCUGGCGCACUUUAGGUGCCAAGGUCAGACAUCAGGCCCGCUUCGGGCCUCUAUACAAAAGCUAAGAUCGGGACCCCUUUUAGCCUUCGCACUGUAGUUUGUUAGGGUAUCUUUUAGGUAGAAGGUCAUCAUGAAUUUUGAUACCUUUUGACCUUGUAAAUCUUUUUAGGCUUGGGCGUGCGAAUUAAGGUCGCGAUGCCCUUAAUUUUUUUCUGAAGUCGAGGGAGCCUUUUCGGCUCGCGGUCGACGCAAUAAGAUGCUCCGAUGCUAGGGCAUCAUUAUACCUGCAGUCGAGGGAGCUUCCUCGGCUCGCGGUCGACAUUGUAGGGUGCCUCGAGCUCUGAUCGGAGUGUCAUUGUACCUGCAGUUGAGGGAGCUUGUGGUUCACGGUCGACACUGCAGGGCACCCUGAGCUCUAGUCGGAGCGUCAUUGUACCUGCGGUCGUGGGAGCCUUUGGCUCGCGAUCGAUACUACAGGGUGCCCCAAGCUUUGGUUGGGGCGUCAUUGUACCUACGGUCGACGGAACCUAUGGCUUNNNNNNNNNNNNNNNNNNNNNNNNNNNNNNNNNNNNNNNNNNNNNNNNNNNNNNNNNNNNNNNNNNNNNNNNNNNNNNNNNNNNNNNNNNNNNNNNNNNNNNNNNNNNNNNNNNNNNNNNNNNNNNNNNNNNNNNNNNNNNNNNNNNNNNNNNNNNNNNNNNNNNNNNNNNNNNNNNNNNNNNNNNNNNNNNNNNNNNNNNNNNNNNNNNNNNNNNNNNNNNNNNNNNNNNNNNGUACAUGCGGUCGAGAGAGCCCAUGGCUCGCGGUCGACAAUGCAGGGUGCCCCGAGCUUUGGUCGGGGCAUCAUUGUACCUACGGUCGAGGGAGCCUGUGGCUCGCGGUCGACACUGCAGGGCGCGCCGAGCUCUGAUCGGGGCGUCAUUAUAUUCUUGAUGACUUUUGCAUAUUCCUUCGUGCACUUCCCUCAUUGCGUAGUCGGCUUUUGAAGGGCGGAGGCAUUUGAGGAGUGGCGAUGUGACCAACUGAUGGUAUAGCUUGCCCUCGUACAUGGGAUAUGUUGUUGCUCGGUGCUCAAAUCGUCGGGCAUCAAUCUUAUCUGCAGAGAAGACCCCGCCUCAUAGGAGGUUAAUAGGAGGGUCCCUCCAGCUCGGUUCAGUUUCUUUGCAUCAGACCGAUUUUGGGUCCUCUAUGCUUGAUACCUUUUAGAGGUAUUUUAUCAUUGGUGGCUCUCGAGCUUCGAAAUCCUCCAGGACUUGGCUCAUCGCUAGCUAGGAGUUGCUAUAGACUUUUGGACGGUGGGCAUUAAGCUCUUUCACCAAUUUUAGCCCUACAACUAGCGCUUCAUAUUUCGCCAUAUUGUUGGAAGUGGAGACUUCAAAGCGCCGGGGCUGCUCAGCUACUACUCAAUUCGAGUUAGUGAGGAGGAGGCUUGCACCGCUGCCCCCUGAGGUCGAGGAGCCAUUAACAUCUAGGACCCAUGGCUCUCGGAGCGUCUGGAUCUUUCGCUCCAACUCCUCGACUUUUCUGUCGAGCUCGGCAUGGGGCGGACCCCACCUUUGAUGGGUGUUCCCGUGCUCGGGCCAUCAUGCUUAGGGACCGAGCUCGGUGGUGAUGACGCUCUCUUUUGUCAGCCUCCGUGCACUGCCUAGCAGGGGAGUGACAUCACGAGCGCCGUAGUAAGGAGUCGCGCUUGCGAAAAGGAGGUGCAUGCUGGACUCUCGCUUGCUGCGGGUCUUGAACAGCCGUAGUGAGUGUUUGGAUUUGCUGGACGAGCAGCUUGAACUGCCCUGGUAGGAUCUGAGAAAUUUGAUCCGUCGGUACUGCAGGGGGUGGGCUUCGAAGUGAGUUGUCGGGAAUUGGUGCCCGAUGCCUCGAUGCAUUAGAAGUUCCUCUACUCCUCAACUUUAUGAUCAUGACUUCGUCCCUUCUUCUAGCGCCAAAUGUUGUGGUUGAAAUUUGGCCAAAGGGUGACCAUGCUGAGGGAGUUGAGGAGACGCCGGCCGAGACGGAGAAGAGGGCCACCUCCAGUGCUCCAGGGUACCUCCAAGAAGACACCGGCCGGGACGGAGAAAAGAAGCCACCUCCUGUGCUCCGGGGUACCUCCGAUGGCUAAGUUAGCGGAAUUUUGGAGGGUCCUGUUGUGGUUGGGAGAGAAGUCCUCUCGGAGUACCUUUUCAUGGCCUCUUUUAUAUUUCUUACGAGAGUACCUCGGUGGCGGAGGUAUGGCCCUUGACAGAUAUGGCAGGGUAUGGCCCUUAGCAUGUGUAGCAGGGUAUGGCCUUGGAAAGUGUAGCAGGGUGUGGCCUUGGUUGACACGUCAUGGCGUGACCAACAAGCAAAGUACGGUACGGUGAGGCUGCUACAGGUGAUGGCUACGACAUGUGUUUGCCAAGGCAGCUUGGUCCCUGGCCGAGGUCGCCUCCUCUGGCAGAGGUUGGCUCGGUCUCUGGCAGAGGUCGUCUCAGUCUCUAGCCGAGGUCGCCUCCUCUGGCGGAGGUCCGCUUGGUCUCUGGCCGAGGUCGGUUCGCUUUUUGGCCAAGGUCGGCUCGCUCGACGGGGUUUGGGUGGUUCCAUGCUGGAGUACGACGAUCCAUUUUACCUCCCAUCAUAGAGUAUCUGUUUCUAUCUCAAUAUCCAAAAAGUAAAGUGUCUUCAAAGCAUUUCUCAGCUUUUCAUUCUUCAUAAAGUCUUCCUUUGGGUUACCCAACCCAUGAGCUUGGGAUACCUUAUCAGGGAGGCCAUUUCUCAUGUCUGUUCUACGUUGCAUGCUUCUAGAACUCUUACUUGGAUGCUUGCAUGUUUUGGCAUCAGAAUUGACUUGGGCUCUAUGUUAUCCCAGCUCCAAAAAUUAUGGUUAAAAUUGAGACUGCACAUGAAUGUGUAUGAAUAAAUUUAUGCCCUUACGCAAAUUUUUGAGUUCAUCUUAGUAUUCAAAAAGAAGGGUUGCUGUUAUGUAAAUUUUACUGUAGAGACAAAUAAUCGAAUCACUUAAUGUCUAUGAAAUAACAAUGGCCAAGAUCAAAUAUGGACAUGUCUUAAUAAUGCAUUAGAAAAAAAACAAAAACAAAUGCACAUGCCUAAUAUUUCUCAUGUACAUUUUGUUAUUAAGUAUGUUAUUAGAUACUUGAUUUAUUUGUUCAUAUGUUUUUCUUUUUACCAUUAGAAAGUUGUGAUCUUCUGAAAAGCAAAAGGAGUAUUGCAAUUAUUGGUUAGUGGCACCUCACUUUGGUUAAACGAGAAAGGAAAUUUAUUUGAGUAGUUUGCCCCUUAGGCAGAUAUUUGGCCCACCACUUGAAUAUCUGCAGUUAUUGCAGAUUUUCUUGUGUGUGACAGCUGAAAAGAGAAUCUCAGUGAUAUAAACCUAAAGAUGUUAAUACCAGAUAUUCAUGAUCUUUUUCUCUUAGCGCCAAUGUUUUUAACUUGACAAACUUACAUUAACAGCAGGCUACUUAUUAACAUGAAUUGUCAUGUAUGCACUUUCCUAAAUCAUUUCCCAUAUUUUGCUUGUAUGUGCUUUUGACUUACUUGAGUGAGGCUUAUCAUGUCCAUUGGUGCAUUUUUACUAGUAUCUUAUAAUUGUCUUUCAGACUCGCCAUGUGACCCCUGCAUGGUCCAUUGCUGCAUGCAUUGGUGUGCCAUCUAUCAAGAGCAUCGAGAAAUGAAAGGGCGCCUCUCUGAUAAUGCCAUUAUGCCGAUGACUAUUGUGAACCCACCUCCAUUGCAGGAAAUGAGCAUGAAUGAAAGUCAUGGUUCAGCAGCCUCUGCUGCCAGUAUUCAAUAGAUCGAACAUGCCAAUUUAGAGAUGGAAGAUUUAUAGAUAGCGUGUUUUAUGCAGAUAAGGUUUGAGGAAUUUUUGAUAAAAAUGCUUUUAUCAAGAGACUUUUCUAGAUGCCUAGGUAUAGCUGGAGAGCUUUUCUUCUGUUGGUUUGAUACAGAACUAAUGCAACUCUAGAAAGUACAAACUAUGGAUAUCUGUUUGUCAUUUCAAGAUUAAUAUCUUGUCCUUGUUGGCUCAAUUCGAAAAAGUACUGCAACUUUCUUAAGGUUCAAGCAAUGAUUUGAAUUCAUCAGUUAACUGAGGGUUGUUGCUCUUCAAUUCUUAAGGGUGCUUCAAGGCUUAAUUGGUCUUAGAAUGGCUGCACUAGAACCAUAUGUUUGAAGUGCUCAAACUGGACUCGAAAUUUUCUCAAGAUUUGCACACCUAUGGCAACUUUCAACUAUCAUAUCUGGGCAUCUAUCUCUAUGAUUCCGAUGCUUGCUUGCAUCUGUUUUUCCUUCUUCGAAAUCAUGGAUUGUAUGUCUUUUGGAAUCAUGCAUUUUAUCUAAUCUACUAGACGUAUGGAUGACAUUAAACAUAUUUUAUGACUAUAAUAUUUUUCCAACACUAACAGAUUCAAAACCAAGACUUCUCUAGAAUCCUUCAGAUCCUUGGUAAUUUUGUGGAGGAAGUAGUGUUGGAAUGCCUCGUUAUGAUAACUGAGAAAUGGACUAUAACUGAAAAACUGUAUUGGUGGUUCGUCAACUUUAUGAUCGAGUUUUAUAUUACAAGCACGAACCUCAAAGUUCUACGUGCAUGACAUCCCUAGUUCUCAGUGAAAGCUCGUAUUGCCUCCGAGGUGGGGAAAGCAGUCUCCCCAAGCUAUAUAAAUAUCGCUCUCAAUGGGGCGCAUUUGCUAUUUGGCCAGUUUAGGUGCUUCAAAAGACGAGAGGUGGAAGACAGAGGCAGUGGAGGAGAUAGAUCCAGUUUUCUCAUCGGAUUCAUUGAGAAUAGAGCAAAGGAGGAUUGUUCUUGAUUUUCGAGUAUUUGAAUGCAAGAACCGAGUAAGGAUCUUGAUUCCUCUAGAUCUAUUGUUUCUUGGAUGCUAUGUAUUCUGUCUUGGUCGAGAAUAGAACAAAGGAGGUCAGAUUUCUAUCCUCGUCUCUAUCUUCUUUCCUAGAUUCUCUCUUUCACCGAUCUUUCUCUCGCGCUGAUAUUGAUUUUCGAGUAUUUGAUCAUAAGAACUGAGUAAAAAUCUUGAUUUCCUCUAGAUUUAUUGUUUCUUUGAUGCGAUAUAGUCUGUGUUGAUGAUCUUGGAGAUUGGAAGAGAUUGAAAGCUAUAGCACCGAUCAUUCUCUUCUUGUGAUUAUUUGUAGAUGAUGGAUUCUUUUAUCAUUUUUUUUAGGUUUUCGAAUUGAUUGGAUGUAUUGAGAACUGAAUGAAGGGAAGGAAGUUAGAUUUCCUCAUUGUUUCCAUCUUAUGAUCUUUCUCUCCGGCGGGUCUUUAUUUUUCUCCCUCCUGAUUUCCAUCUUUGAGUAUUUGAACACCAGAGCUGACCGGUAGUGCUAGUUUUCAUUUGAUCUAGGGUUUGGUUGAUGUGAUGCUGGAUCAACGUAGUAUUUCUCUUCGGUCAUCAUUGUUCUAGUGACACGAGCCAUCUAGGAUCAUCAAUGUAUCCGGUCCAUAAGUCAAGUAGAGAAGAACAUCCCAUAGACAGAGAAAAUCUCGUAGAGAGAGAAAAUCCCAUAGAGAGAAAAGUUCAUAGGGAGAGAAAGUGGGGAAGAGUGAGAAGAGAGCAGAAUGAGAGAGAGAGAGGAGAAAGGAGGAGAGAAACGAGAGAAAGAAGAGAGGAGAGAGAAGAAAAGAGAAACUCUCUUCUUUCUUCUCAAAAUAGGGGAUCCGUCUCCCCCUUCCUUCACGAUUGGAUCUAGAGGCGGCUGUGGUGGCCAGCUCCGAAGGCGACAAGAGGUGGCUCGGCCAACCUUGGUGGCCGACGGCGGCAAGCAAGGGCCAACAACAAAAAGAAGAGGAUGAAGAGGCCGAAACUCUUUCUUCCUUCUUGGUCUUUGACGGUGGGGCUCCGGUGACGACCCAAAGCAUCAAAGGGGACAAGCCCCCUUCUCCGGUGACGAGCGCCGGCAAAAGGAGGAACAACCAGGGAUUUCGAAUAUAAAAACAGAGGAUUAAUAGGGCCUUUUAUUCUUGAAUUUUUCCGGCAAAGACUCGACUGGAAGCGAGGCUUAUGAACAAGGAAACUGAGGAGAAGAAGAUCAAGGCUCAUAUCUGUGAUUCCAAUGAACCUUGGCUGCAUUUCACGGCGAGCAUGGGGAGCUUAGGCCGUCGGCAAUCUAAGGAAAAAAGAGAAGAAAAUGAUGGAGGUUGUGAGAUCUAUCGGUAAAGGAGAUUUGGGGUGGUCGCUGACUUAAAUAGAAGUGGAGGCUAGGCUUAUCCUAGCCUCCGACAGUGUCCGUAGUGGAGGACUCUUCCUCCUCCUCUGCGUGGUUCACCAGGGGUUUGCCCUGUUCUGAAUGGAAAGAGGGCCUUCAGACCCUCUCUUGGCAUUGGGCUAGGCCAACGGGCUGGCCCAGUGAGGCUGGGCCUCACAUUAAGUGCCUGUAAUUGGUGCAGAAAAAACAAGGAUGAUAGAAAAAGGUCAAGAAUUUUGAGAUUUAAUGGCUCUUGAUGCCAUGCAAAUAUUCGAAAGGAUUAGUGGAGAAGAAAGAAAGCAGUACUUUAUACAGAAUUUAUCUUCGACGAUCAUGAAUUUGACUGGCUUGGUCAUUUAUGAUGAUGCUUAAAUCUGAUCUGAAGACGGUAAAAUUAAGGCUAUCAGCAUCAACUUGGAUUCAGUUGGUUCUUAACUUCAGGUCGACCUUCCUAUAUUUCCUUCCAUGCUUUUCUCUUCCUUCAUAUUUUUAUUUUAGAAUAACUUGGUCGAGGUGCCCUAAAUUAAACAAAACAAGUAGGUGAAUUGGAGCUGGUUCUUGUAGUUUGAUGAGUAAAAUGGGAACAGCUUGUCAUAAUGUAGCUUAAGCCAUAGUGUCAAUAAGACCUGACCUCAGAAAAUUUUCAAUCAGGCCACAGAUGGCAUGGGGUCCAAAUCAAUGCACUGUAGAAAUAUGAAAAAGCUACAUGUGCUUACAGCUUAAUAUUUUUUUUUUAAUCUGUGAAAUCUUUUUCUUUUGCUAGCUGAAAUCUUCACCUGCGUUUUCUUGUUCACUGUGAGUGGCAUGCUUGCCUUUCACAUCCUAUGAAAGUUAGUUGUUUUUUUUCUUAUAUAUAUAUAUAUUUGUGUGGUUCUAUCAAAAUGAGCAUUCAAGCUACCAGCUAUUGUACAGAUGCAUGCAUAACUGCUCUCUUUCCUUUUGCUAUUUACUUCUCAUGUCAGGACCUGAUGGUUUGGUUUUACUCAUCAUGUGCCUGGUCCAGGUUUUAAAUACAAGUUGGUUCACCUCCAAUUUUCAAAUUAAUUUCAUUUAGGUAGAGCAGGGGACACUCAUCUAGCAUGGCAAAGAGAUCUCGCAGAUGAUCUGCACGGGCCAAGAAGGAUCAUGUUGGCUGCAUAUGGGGUUUGAUUAGGAUGCUUGACUUCCACCAUGGGCAUUUAACUCGAAAAUUACUUCGACAUAGGAAGCAUGGGACUGGUGGACAUGCAGAUAAGACUUUCCUGAUAUUGUGUCAAUCUACUGAUACUGGCUAUUUUGUUAAUCUUCUUUUUGAAUUGUUUGGUUUGUCUCUAUCGGCUACUUAUUUAUUUGCACCACAUAAUUGAUUAAUAAAUGAAGAGAUUGUCCUAAAAAUGCCCUUCGUUUAGCAAUGCAUCUAAUUCAGAGACUUCUCCUACUUGAUCAAGAUGCUGCUAUACCUGAGUACCAAUGCUUAAUGCCCUUAUUUGUAACUAUGACUGAGCAAGCCACAACAGAAGCUCAAAAACGUCUGUUCUUUUAUAAUUUUGUGUUAUAUUAUCUAUGCAGGCACUGGAUAUUCAAGGAGUACACUUAAUUUAUUGGGCAAUUAUGAGGAAAAGCAUAAAGAUGUUGAUGUAAGUCUUGCUAUUUUCUUUCUGAAAUAGAAAUAAAUGCAUAUGAAAUGUUUUUUUUUUCUUUUANNNNNNNNNNNNNNUAAUAUCAAAGUUUAAUAUAUCAUUUUUGUGGUUGGUGAUGUGAUAAAUAUGGACAUAUAUAUAUAUAUAUAUAUAUUCUCAUGCAAAGGCCACGAAAUAUUAUAUUUAGUUUUGAGUGACUUGGUAGUACCUUUCAGGUUGGGAUGUCUGAAAUACAUCGGGUAUCCCCACAAAAAAAAAAGAAAUAACAAAUAAAAAGAUACAUUAUCUUGCCAUUGUUUUUCCAUAUAGCUGUAUCUGGUUUUACUUUAAAAAUUUACCUCCGAUCAAUCAUUAUGCUGUAAAAAUCAAUCAAUACUACUUUGCCAUGAUUUUAUCAUAUAGUUAAAUUAGAAUUCUUUAGGCAGUCGGUCUGAGCAUGAAUUCUUCCAGUUGAACUCAAAAGAGUAAUUCUUGGACAAGUGUUAAAGUGUUCAUUUUGAUGAUGCCGUUGGGUCCAAGUGUUCAAACAGGAUUAUAUAUACAUUGGUUAAUUAGAAAAUAAAGAGGAUGGAGAUUCACUGUGAUUGGAGCAGCGCCGCAUCGCCAUUUAUUCAUGGGAUUUUCAGAUUUGUAAUAGUAGCCAUUUUGUAACUCAGAUGGAUUUCUCUUUUCUGUUUGCCCAUACUGCCAGCUACUCUAGGAGGUUGAAUCUCUGAAGUAUCUGUAUCCCAGUUGACAGUGCUGUUAUCUCUGUCAUCUAAAUCAGGCUGAAGGACAUCAGCAACAAAAUCUCCAUUGUCUGAGACAUGGGAUGCAUCUUCCAGUGUGUUAAUCUUUUCAAUCACCAAAUCCAUCCGCUUAGAAGGGAAGUCAUCCAGGUCACUUUCAUCAGAUGGGCUUUGCUGCCGGACUUUUUCCCACAUCAUUGCAUCAGACUUCUCAUCCCUUCCUCUAUCUUUACCUUUGCGAUUAUUCCGUUUCUGUUUAUGCUGGACAAUGUAUAUAUUAAAAAGAAGACAGGAUUGCAUUACAAAUUCCAGUCUCCAUUUCUGUAAUAUACUAAAACAUGUAAAAGUUAGUUUAGAAUGGAUGCUUCAAAGACAGAAGCAGUAAAAAGCCGCAACUCCUGCAACUCAUUCAGUGCAAAAAGGUUUCACCGGCACAUUAAAGAUUACUUAAAAGGACAAGACAAUAUGGAAACUGGAAAAGAAUGGGAUCAUAUAAGAAUUAGAGAUUGUGCAGCACAAUAUCAAAUUACAGCAACGACAAUUGCACAUUCUGUUACUCGGUACCAGGAACAAGCUGUCAGAGUUUGUAAAGAAAGCAUUGCCAACAAAAUGAGAGCAAACCUAAAAGAUGCAGUCAUUACAGGAAUAAAUCACAUAACAAUCUGCCAGGCAGCUUAAUAGCUGAGACAUGAAUUUCAAUUAGCCAUUCAAAGUAACACCAGGAGGUAAUCUGGCUCUGAAGACCCUCUUAAACCUAGAAACGGCCUCGCGUUAUCAAAAAAACAAGAAAAAGCCCAAAAGUGCAAACUUAUCAGCAGCUAAUUAAGAUCAAACAAUCAACUACCAUAAUCACAUAAUACAAAUUUACAGAUGGUUGGUUGUCAAUCUUAACUAUGCAAUAUAUACAUAGAAUAUCAUAUAAAUGCCAAAAUUGUUGAGAAACAGCAAAACGUAGAAGUAGAAAGCAAUAAUUGUGAUAGCAUAAGGAUGACUCCAAUGCUAAGGCGAGGGGAAAUAUUUACUUGAAAAUGCAAUAUCUGACUUUGUCUAACAUAAAUGAUGAAUUAACUCCAAGAAUACAAAUGCACAUAAACAGCAGUAUGUUAUAUAGUUAGCACCCAGAUCAAUGACAAAUACAGAUAUGAACUUGAUAAAAAGGAGAAAUAAACAUAUAUAAUUCGAGAAAAAACACUAAACUACUUGGUUGUGAUUGAUAGACUAUAAUCUUUAUGUAAAAAGCAGCUGAAUGCUGAAUGAACCACAAAUAGGCAGCUUUAUCAGUGAAAAAUUAAUCAUGAAUAUGCAGCUUUACCAGUAAAUUAGAAAUUAAUGACAAAUAAGCAGAUUUAUCAGUGAAUCAGAAAUUAUGUGUUUAAUCAGAAAAAUUGAAACUCCACCAUCUACACCACUUACCGAUGCUGAAUGGCAGGCUGGAGAAGAAUUGAUCAAUGUGCAUUUCAACAUCAUUCUAAAAAUCUGUGAGGAUUCCUGACAUCAUUUCACUUAUCUGUAAAAGUAGAACCAUAAAUAGCUGGAGUCAUAUCACUGUUUAACGAUUAAUAUCAAAUAAACUUAAUAGAAGGUGAUAAGAAUCUUCUGAGAAUACAGGAUGAUUUAUCUUGACAAAUUCCAUAAGGUGUGAAUCUAUCUAAAAUGGUAUAAUUACCUGCUUCGAAGAUAGCCCUAGUUCCUUAAGAUCUUCUAUCUGCCCAUCAAAACAGUCCAUCUGAUUAAAUUGCUCCAAUAACAGGGAAAAGGAGGAUUAAAUUGAAAUGGUUUUCUUUUCAAUGAUAAUGGUUUUCACUGUGCUUACUUCCUUAAAGGGUUCUGGAGUUUCCUCGCGAAGUUCGAGUAUGUAGGUAGCUCUCUUCUCUCCAAUCCACUGAACAAAGAACAGGAAUUAGCAUAUAUCAAGCCAAAAUUACGAGCAACAGACAGAAGUACAAUCUAAGAUCUUGAAACUGACCUUCAAUUGUUUAAGUUCCUCCCUGUAAGAAAAAGGAAAAAGAAAAGGAAUAGAUUAGAGAGAAAAAGAAUAUAUUAGAGAGACCAUGUUUCCUAUAAAAAAAGUCAUCUAACUGUAAAUAAAAGCGAUUAAGGGAAUUGCAGAUCUUAACCAUUUCAUGAUAAUUUGUGUUCAUCUGAUGGCUUGCAGAUCUUAUACAAAAGGGGUGGUUGAUAAAUAACCUAUGUAUCUGACAAUACAGCUUUGUGAAUUUUUUUGAUGCAGCUUUCUAGGUUUGCAAAUAUUAGGUCUUGAAAUGUAAAAGAAUGAACAAGAUGACACUCUCUAACUGUAGUUACAUUGAUGUUAUCCACAUUUCUUGUUGAAAUAAUUAUCGCAAGUAAACAAGGAUAAAUUAGUUUUCUAAAGAAAGUCAAGGUUAAUCAGUUCUUAAUUUCCAUGUGAGAACUGAAAUCAAUAAAACGUUCAGCAAUGUUUUCUUGAAGUGAUAAGUUGUGAAAAUGGUUAACUAGUCAAUCACAUACGUGACCCAGACCAAAUUUGUAGCAAUAACUUAUGUUUUACAUGGCAAGAAAUACCGAAACAAUCCACCAUUUCAUGCAAAAGAAGGAAUUCCUAACAUGGUCCCAAAUGUUCCGUCAGAUCCAGCAUCAUGUCAUGCAAAACUAAUGCUAAACCCCAACUUACAAGUGUUAAUAUAACUAAGCCAAUUUUUGUUGCAUCUCCUGAAGAGGAAUAUUUUUCACUGUAUAUAAGAAGAAGCUCCAUGCAACUACUUGUAACAUCCAAACUUCUACUUCCCCACUAAGUAUACCCCAUGCCUUUUGGACUCCACAUUGCAAAAAGAGGAUAAGGUUUUGAUGUCGUCAAUAAUAGAGGGUGUUAAUCAUAACAUCAUGAAAUUUCAUUGUGCAGGGACAACAACAAUAGUCAUAACAGAUCUGGGAGCAAAUGCAUCAUAAUUUAACCUAAUUUUAUAAGGAUUUAUCACUUUGUUUCUUGCUUAGCAAUGCAAUACUUUUUGUAGCAUCUUUCAGUUCUCAUAGUCUCUUAUUACAAAAAAUAUGCUAUUGUUAUCACCUGUCACUCCACAUAGUUUUAGCCAUGAAACAUUAUACCACAUGAAAAUUUUAUGUAUAAUGCAAAAAAAGAUAUUAUAAAAAAUUAGACACGGUAUGAUAAAUAUUAUGGUAUUAAUCAUUAAUUUAUUUGCUUUGACUUCCAAUUUAUAUAAUUUAAUUUGAUUAGUUUAGACUCUAUAAUAAAGACUGAAUGACUUAUCAGUCAAUGUUAAUAUUUUGUCAAAUAUAAAUAAUUAGACUAUUUUUUGUUACAACAAAAACAAUUAACCUGUAACGGUUAGCUGGACUUCUAUUGAUCAUUAUUUGUUAUUUCUCCUUAAUAAGAAGAAAGCGCUCAUUACUUACUUAUUAGCCUUGUUAACGAAAGUUAGGCAUGCUUGCACCAGUGAUUUCUGCAACCAUUAAUAAGAAAAAAAGUUACGCAUAAUCAAAAUGACAAUACUCAUUAACAACUUGCCAUAAAAAAAAUGAAAAAUACAAAACCUUGUCCCCUGUAUUAUGAGUUCUGACGAUGUCCGGUGGAGUUUUGAUGUGAUCGAGCGUCAGGGACGGCCCAAUACAUUUGGAGGCCUAAGGCGAAUACAAUGAAUGAGGCCUCUCUUUUUUUAAUAAUAAAAUUUUUUAAUAAGUAUAAAAUACUUAAAAAAUGAUAUGAAAAUAGAUAGCUAUCAAGUACAAUAUUUCAACAAAGAUACAUGAAUCUAACAAAAAUAGACAAGAAGCCUUUUCAAUUUAAUACGAUUUUUGAAUGGAAGCAUAGAAAAGUAAUUAUUCUAAAAGAAGGGCCAUAAAACUGAUUAAAUAACUGAGAUAAUGCUUGGCAAUACUGUUUACCAUGUCAAGCAAGAGCAGAAUAGGAAAAGGUCAUCCCAUGGCACUUCAUGGUCAAGGUAAAGAAAAGAAUUUGUCCAGAAAGGAACCUCUCUAUAAGAGAAAGUAGGGGCAUUAUGGGAAAUUCACUCCAUCUAAUUAAUAAAAGUCCCAUCCCACCAUCUCCCCUUCAAGUGAGUACCCAAGCAGCAACUGCAACAUCACAGCACAGCAGCCAUUCAACCCCCUCCCUCCUUUUCUCUCUCUACCACCCAAGAGGGGAGAAGAAACCGAGAGGAGAAAAUUAAAAGAAUCUCCACCCUCCAAGAAGUCCAUUUCCAAUCCCCCUUUCUUCCUGAUGGCCCAGCUGGGUCAGGAGUAAUGUGAGGUAAGGAAAACCAAGACCAAAACCAAAAAAGAGAAGGGAUGAAAGAUAAGAGUGGCUUCAGGCGUGUAUCAAGCCAACCAAAUCCCUCCUCUCUCUCNNN
RNAcentral lists this long non-coding RNA (22642 nucleotides) under Phoenix dactylifera (date palm). Its description in RNAcentral is "long non-coding RNA (PDAC_LNC001376)". Lineage: Eukaryota; Viridiplantae; Streptophyta; Magnoliopsida; Arecales; Arecaceae. The record is from RNAcentral.